Molecule: ribosomal RNA, 465 nt
Filed under: uncultured bacterium
Lineage: Bacteria
Description: partial 16S ribosomal RNA
Rfam family: Bacterial small subunit ribosomal RNA
Source: RNAcentral
GACGAACGCUGGCGGCGUGCUUAACACAUGCAAGUCGAACGGAAAGGCCCUGCUUGCAGGGUACUCGAGUGGCGAACGGGUGAGUAACACGUGGGUGAUCGGCCCUGCACUUCGGGAUAAGCCUGGGAAACUGGGUCUAAUACCGGAUAGGAGCCAUUUUUAGUGUGAUGGUUGGAAAGUUUUUUCGGUGUAGGAUGAGCUCGCGGCCUAUCAGCUUGUUGGUGGGGUAAUGGCCUACCAAGGCGGCGACGGGUAGCCGGCCUGAGAGGGUGGACGGCCACAUUGGGACUGAGAUACGGCCCAGACUCCUACGGGAGGCAGCAGUGGGGAAUAUUGCACAAUGGGCGCAAGCCUGAUGCAGCGACGCCGCGUGGGGGAUGACGGCCUUCGGGUUGUAAACUCCUUUCGCUAGGGACGAAGCUUUUUGUGACGGUACCUAGAUAAGAAGCACCGGCUAACUACGUG